CUCUUAGUCAUUUGCUUCUCGUUCUUUCUGUUAUGAAGAGUGGACAUGUGGACUAUGUUGAAGAUACAAAUCUUACUUAUUCACGAAAGAGUCUGACAACCAGACACAAGGACCACCUCAACAAAACGUUGGACCGCAACCUCCUGUGAUCUACCUUGGGUUCCUUCGGGUGUGGCAGAUACGACCAAACCGGGACAUAAUCGACCGCCACAGAAUGGUUAUAUCCGGCAAACUGGACAGUCAUCCAGUCCAGUUAUCGAACAACAGUAUCAACGCUUAACAGCAAAAUGGAGCAGAAUAGCACAACGCUUUAGGAGACGUUUCCUUCUCAGUUUACCGAAAUGAAAGCACGAGACAUCCUACAGCUGUUACAAAAGUCAGAAUCAGUAGAGAUUCUCAUAUGGGGGAAGGACUUUCUAGAUAUACCAACGACUGUUAUAUGAACGGAUUAUAUUCGAGAUAAAUCAGAUUUGUCAUGACAAUAUAGAGUAUAGUAGCUUGGUGUUUUUUCAUUUCUAACUGUACACUUCAAAUAAUGGUUGAUGAUCGAUGUGCAUUGAUUCCAAGAAGUGCCUUUCGAUUGAUUCACAUACGGAUAUAUAUAUAGAGAGAGAGAUAAGAGAGCACAACAGUAAUCGUAUUCGAUAAAAAAAGGUUAUCAAGCGUAUCAUAUUCUCCUGGAAUUACAGCUUGAAACUGAACUUUAUAUGGUUAUACUUAUAGUAAUUGAUAAAGUUUAACUUGUCGUUAUUCUAAUUACAAUAUAUAAACGGUAAUACACUCAUUUUCUUAAACAAAUGUAAUCACAUAAACAUGGUCAUAAGAUUUAGAAAACAAAAAAAUGGCUUUUAUUCGUAAUGAUUCCUUUUUAUGCCUGUUGUUUCUAACUUUACUUUGGAGUCGUCUUAAUCCAGGUUCUUGUACAUAAACUUUAUAGAAUGUAUAUCAGUGUUUGUCACAACUACAUUAUUGACAAGUUUUGCGUAAACUUAUUUUGUAUGAUUCUACUUAAUAUGUAGACUAAGAUAUGUUUAAUUUCGGGUUAUUCUUAAAGAGAUAUAGUGACGGUAAAAUGGUUCGGUCCCUUCUGUUUACCAUAUAAGGGGAACAACCUAGAUUGUUUAAGGGUUGAUAAGAUAAUACCGAUGUUACUUAUGCAUGUAAAUACACACAGUUGUUUCAAUGUUUACUAUACAACCUCAAACGAUCCGUCUUAUUCCUUAUUAUUAAAUAAAACACUUAAGUGCCUAGUUUAUGAAUUUCUAUUUUUCUAAUAAAUAUAAAGAUGAUUUUCAGCUCAAAACAAGAUUGUGCUAUAAUCUCGUGGUCUUGCGCAACUUUUAUCAAUGGUAUGCGACGUCAUCACUGUUGGUGUUGUAUUUUUUUCUUUUCGGUUUGAAGGGAAGUGUAUACGAUAUAACCUUAAAAAAGUCUAACUUUGGGAGAACAGCCAAACUAUACGAAGGUAUGCAUAAUAUUACAUGCACGCAGACAUUUGUUGUUUUUUAAGAUUUUGUAUAUACAAACAUUAUUGCUAUGUUAUUAAAUAAUAUAACCAUCUAC
RNAcentral lists this long non-coding RNA (1563 nucleotides) under Mizuhopecten yessoensis (Yesso scallop). RNAcentral's name for it is "uncharacterized LOC110465126". Lineage: Eukaryota; Metazoa; Mollusca; Bivalvia; Pectinida; Pectinidae. The record is from RNAcentral.